RNAcentral lists this ribosomal RNA (167 nucleotides) under uncultured Alphaproteobacteria bacterium. Its description in RNAcentral is "partial 16S ribosomal RNA". It matches the Rfam family "Bacterial small subunit ribosomal RNA", at positions 340 to 524 of the family's 1533-position model. The record is from RNAcentral. Lineage: Bacteria; Pseudomonadati; Pseudomonadota; Alphaproteobacteria.
UACGGGAGGCAGCAGUGGGGAAUAUUGGACAAUGGGCGCAAGCCUGAUCCAGCCAUGCCGCGUGAGUGAUGAAGGCCCUAGGGUUGUAAAACUCUUUCAGUGGUGAAGAUAAUGACGGUAACCACAGAAGAAGCUCCGGCUAACUCCGUGCCAGCAGCCGCGGUAAU